RNAcentral lists this transfer RNA (24 nucleotides) under Achlydosa glandulosa. Its description in RNAcentral is "transfer RNA-Cys". RNAcentral also lists the same sequence under 42 other names. Lineage: Eukaryota; Viridiplantae; Streptophyta; Magnoliopsida; Asparagales; Orchidaceae. The record is from RNAcentral.
GGCGGCAUGGCCAAGUGGUAAGGC